Molecule: ribosomal RNA, 491 nt
Filed under: Acinetobacter junii
Lineage: Bacteria; Pseudomonadati; Pseudomonadota; Gammaproteobacteria; Moraxellales; Moraxellaceae
Description: bacterial SSU rRNA
Rfam family: Bacterial small subunit ribosomal RNA
Source: RNAcentral
CGUAGCGGAGAUGAGGUGCUUGCACCUUAUCUUAGCGGCGGACGGGUGAGUAAUGCUUAGGAAUCUGCCUAUUAGUGGGGGACAACAUUCCGAAAGGAAUGCUAAUACCGCAUACGUCCUACGGGAGAAAGCAGGGGAUCUUCGGACCUUGCGCUAAUAGAUGAGCCUAAGUCGGAUUAGCUAGUUGGUGGGGUAAAGGCCUACCAAGGCGACGAUCUGUAGCGGGUCUGAGAGGAUGAUCCGCCACACUGGGACUGAGACACGGCCCAGACUCCUACGGGAGGCAGCAGUGGGGAAUAUUGGACAAUGGGGGGAACCCUGAUCCAGCCAUGCCGCGUGUGUGAAGAAGGCCUUAUGGUUGUAAAGCACUUUAAGCGAGGAGGAGGCUACUGAGACUAAUACUCUUGGAUAGUGGACGUUACCUCGCAGAAUAAGCACCGGCUAACUCUGUGCCAGCAGCCGCGGUAAUACAGAGGGUGCGAGCGUUAAUC